GAUGAACGCUGGCGGCGUGCCUAAUACAUGCAAGUCGAGGGAACAGACGAGGAGCUUGCUCCUCUGACGUUAGCGGCGGACGGGUGAGUAACACGUGGAUAACCUACCUAUAAGACUGGGAUAACUUCGGGAAACCGGAGCUAAUACCGGAUAAUAUAUUGAACCGCAUGGUUCAAUAGUGAAAGACGGUUUUGCUGUCACUUAUAGAUGGAUCCGCGCCGGAUUAGCUAGUUGGUAAGGUAACGGCUUACCAAGGCAACGAUGCGUAGCUGACCUGAGAGGGUGAUCGGCCACACUGGAACUGAGACACGGUCCAGACUCCUACGGGAGGCAGCAGUAGGGAAUCUUGCGCAAUGGGCGAAAGCCUGAUGGAGCCACGCCGCGUGAGUGAUGAAGGUCUUCGGAUCGUAAAACUCUGUUAUUAGGGAAGAACAGCUGUGGAAGUAACUAUGCACGUCUUGACGGUACCUAAUGAGAAAGCCACGGCUAACUACGUG
RNAcentral lists this ribosomal RNA (497 nucleotides) under uncultured bacterium. RNAcentral's name for it is "partial 16S ribosomal RNA". It matches the Rfam family "Bacterial small subunit ribosomal RNA", at positions 28 to 507 of the family's 1533-position model. The record is from RNAcentral.